RNAcentral lists this ribosomal RNA (484 nucleotides) under uncultured bacterium. Its description in RNAcentral is "bacterial SSU rRNA". It matches the Rfam family "Bacterial small subunit ribosomal RNA", at positions 501 to 985 of the family's 1533-position model. The record is from RNAcentral.
CUACGUGCCAGCAGCCGCGGUAAUACGGAAGGUCCGGGCGUUAUCCGGAUUUAUUGGGUUUAAAGGGAGCGUAGGCCGUGGAUUAAGCGUGUUGUGAAAUGCAGGUGCUCAACGUCUGCACUGCAGCGCGAACUGGUCCACUUGAGUGUGCACAACGCAGGCGGAAUUCGUCGUGUAGCGGUGAAAUGCUUAGAUAUGACGAAGAACUCCGAUUGCGAAGGCAGCUUACGGGAGCACAACUGACGCUGAAGCUCGAAGGUGCGGGUAUCAAACAGGAUUAGAUACCCUGGUAGUCCGCACAGUAAACGAUGGAUGCCCGUUGUUAGUUCACUUACGAAUUAGCGACCAAGCGAAAGCAUUAAGCAUCCCACCUGGGGAGUACGCCGGCAACGGUGAAACUCAAAGGAAUUGACGGGGGCCCGCACAAGCGGAGGAACAUGUGGUUUAAUUCGAUGAUACGCGAGGAACCUUACCCGGGCUUGAA